CGGACAGUGUCUGGUGGGUAGUUUGACUGGGGCGGUCUCCUCCCAAAGCGUAACGGAGGAGCACGAAGGUUAGCUAAUCCUGGUCGGACAUCAGGAGGUUAGUGCAAUGGCAUAAGCUAGCUUGACUGCGAGCGUGACGGCGCGAGCAGGUGCGAAAGCAGGUCAUAGUGAUCCGGUGGUUCUGAAUGGAAGGGCCAUCGCUCAACGGAUAAAAGGUACUCCGGGGAUAACAGGCUGAUACCGCCCAAGAGUUCAUAUCGACGGCGGUGUUUGGCACCUCGAUGUCGGCUCAUCACAUCCUGGGGCUGAAGUAGGUCCCAAGGGUAUGGCUGUUCGCCAUUUAAAGUGGUACGCGAGCUGGGUUUAGAACGUCGUGAGACAGUUCGGUCCCUAUCUGCCGUGGGCGCUGGAGAAUUGAGG
RNAcentral lists this ribosomal RNA (420 nucleotides) under Klebsiella pneumoniae. RNAcentral's name for it is "bacterial LSU rRNA". It matches the Rfam family "Bacterial large subunit ribosomal RNA", at positions 2248 to 2667 of the family's 2925-position model. The record is from RNAcentral. Lineage: Bacteria; Pseudomonadati; Pseudomonadota; Gammaproteobacteria; Enterobacterales; Enterobacteriaceae.